UACGUAGGGGGCUAGCGUUGUCCGGAAUCAUUGGGCGUAAAGAGCGUGUUGGCGGCCCGGUAAGGCCGCUGUAAAAGUCAAAGGCUCAACCUUUGAAUGUCAGUGGAUACUGCCGGGCUAGAGUCCGGAAGAGGCGAGUGGAACUCCUGGUGUAGCGGUGGAAUGCGCAGAUAUCAGGAAGAACACCCGUGGCGAAUGCGGCUCUCUGGGACGGUACUGACGCUGAGACGCGAAAGCGUGGGGAGCGAACAGG
This 253-nucleotide ribosomal RNA is filed under the name uncultured bacterium. RNAcentral describes it as "partial 16S ribosomal RNA". It matches the Rfam family "Bacterial small subunit ribosomal RNA", at positions 524 to 776 of the family's 1533-position model. The record is from RNAcentral.